CUUUGAUGCCCUCGGGCUUCUCUCUGGUCUUUGGAAAACAAAUUAUUCAGGCAGGGAACUGUGUUAAAAUAUUGCUCCUGCACUAACAAUUUUGAAAUGAGAGGCCAUAAUCUGAAAUCCAUCCCCCAAGACAAGAGAGACAAAUGUCAACUUCUCUCUCAGUUCUCGUCGUUGUACUAGUCAUCUGCCUGCUGUUGGUUAAGGAGCUCAAAUAGAGCCCUGGAGUUUGACCCAAGUCCUGGUACUCCACAUCCCUCUUCACCCUCAUUCUGCAAGUCAGACACAAAAUAGCUGUGUUCAAUUGUACGGAUUCUUCAGGGAUAGCAAAAGUCCUGCCUUCUGCCCUAGGGCUUCUUAAGUGUAUUCCUUAGUCCCUGGACCUUGGAAAAGAGACUUCACUUCUGAUUCUGAAUCUAAAUAUUUAUUGAGAUGCAAAGGUAGGAUGUUUGGCCUCUUCUAGUUUCCUUCCAGCUAUAAAGUCCCAUAACGGAGUGAUUUGGUUCUGUUUGUACUGCCAUUACCUGAUUUCUA
Molecule: long non-coding RNA, 531 nt
Filed under: Marmota monax (woodchuck)
Lineage: Eukaryota; Metazoa; Chordata; Mammalia; Rodentia; Sciuridae
Source: RNAcentral